Molecule: ribosomal RNA, 564 nt
Filed under: Fusarium sp. zzz101
Lineage: Eukaryota; Fungi; Ascomycota; Sordariomycetes; Hypocreales; Nectriaceae
Description: eukaryotic LSU rRNA
Rfam family: 5.8S ribosomal RNA (bases 198-351)
Source: RNAcentral
AGUAGCACAGGGGGUUCUCUUGGGUGGAACCAGGGGAGGUUUCAUUACCGAGUUUACAACUCCCAAACCCCUGUGAACAUACCUUUAUGUUGCCUCGGCGGAUCAGCCCGCGCCCCGUAAAACGGGACGGCCCGCCGCAGGAAACCCUAAACUCUGUUUUUAGUGGAACUUCUGAGUAUAAAAAACAAAUAAAUCAAAACUUUCAACAACGGAUCUCUUGGUUCUGGCAUCGAUGAAGAACGCAGCAAAAUGCGAUAAGUAAUGUGAAUUGCAGAAUUCAGUGAAUCAUCGAAUCUUUGAACGCACAUUGCGCCCGCCAGUAUUCUGGCGGGCAUGCCUGUUCGAGCGUCAUUUCAACCCUCAAGCCCAGCUUGGUGUUGGGAUCUGUCCUAACCGACAGUCCCCAAAUUGAUUGGCGGUCACGUCGAGCUUCCAUAGCGUAGUAAUUUACACAUCGUUACUGGUAAUCGUCGCGGCCACGCCGUUAAACCCCAACUUCUGAAUGUUGACCUCGGAUCAGGUAGGAAUACCCGCUGAACUUAAGCAUAUCAAUAAGCGGAGGAA